GGAUGCUCGAGGAAGGAAACGGAUAUUUGAGAUGUCAAGAUAUCCCAACAGUGUCAUCUCUCUAUCAUAUAGCCAUGAUGGAUUACUUUUAGCAGUUGCAUCCAGUUAUUCAUACCAAGAAGCUAACGAAAUAGAAGAGCCACCUCAGAUAUUUAUACAUGAAAUGGGGAACUGUGAUCUUACGUCGCCUUCUUCUGGAGCUUCAAACAAAAAAUGACUGCUAAUA
This is a long non-coding RNA of Solanum dulcamara, 226 nucleotides long. RefSeq lists it as uncharacterized. The transcript is spliced from 3 exons. The record is from RefSeq and is a predicted model, not a curated record. Lineage: Eukaryota; Viridiplantae; Streptophyta; Magnoliopsida; Solanales; Solanaceae.